UAUUUAUUAUUAUUUGUUAAUGCAAAAAAUCCUCGUAAAGUAUGACAUGACUUUCAUGACAGAUGUUUUCAAGUACAUUUUCUAUGCUGGUAAUGUGAGUAAAUACCAGGUAAUACACAUUAUACUCUAACUCGGCUAAGACUGGAUUCACGAUGACAACCGGUAAUUUUUAUUUUUGUUUUUUUAAUCUUAUUUACGGUACAUACCAGGCAAGCUGAGCGAGCAAUGGAGAUAUAGUGGAGUUUAAGUUUAACAGAGGUAUUAAAUCCUUUGGUGUACAUAUACAGGUCUAGCUGGAUUUCUCGUCGUCUAAACGUCUAGUCUAACAAUCUAUCUCAGGGACACUAGAACGAGAUACCAGCACAGCAAACAGAGUUAAGAGAUAAUGAUAUGCAAACAGAGCCCAUACUCACAGCACAUCACAUUUUAUUCUAUCCAAUAAUCAUUUCACCGGAUAAAUAUUUUUACUGUUAUUAAUUUUAUUUAAUUGAAUAAAUAUUUAAAUGCCGCUCUGUACUAUUUUUUACUACCAACUAUUUUAUUUUUUAUUUUUACAAUAAUUACUGUACUGAACCGUUCGACACUAUUUAUUCGUACGGUAUAUUAUAAUAGAUAAGUGUGUAGAAUGUGCUUGUCACGCCAAAGCGAUAAUA
This is a long non-coding RNA of Cotesia glomerata, 653 nucleotides long. RefSeq lists it as uncharacterized. The record is from RefSeq and is a predicted model, not a curated record. Lineage: Eukaryota; Metazoa; Arthropoda; Insecta; Hymenoptera; Braconidae. The transcript is spliced from 2 exons.